AUUGAACGCUGGCGGCAGGCCUAACACAUGCAAGUCGAGCGGAGCGGCGGACGGGUGAGUAAUGCCUAGGAAUCUGCCUGGUCGUGGGGGAUAACGUCCGGACACGGGCGCUAAUUCCGCCUAUUAUCAAUUGAGCCUAGGUCGGAUUAGCUAGUUGGUGGGGUAAUGGCUUACCAAGCCGACGAUCCAUAACUGGUCUGAGAGGAUGAUCAGUCACACUGGAACUGAGACACGGCCCAGACUCCUACGGGAGGCAGCAGUGGGGAAUAUUGGACAAUGGGCGAAAGCCUGAUCCAGCCAUGCCGCGUGUGUGAAGAAGGUCUUCGGAUUGUAAAGCACUUUAAGUUGGGAGGCGUUACCAACAGAAGAAGAACCGGCUAACUCCGUGCCAGCAGCCGCGGUAAUAC
Molecule: ribosomal RNA, 407 nt
Filed under: uncultured bacterium
Lineage: Bacteria
Description: partial 16S ribosomal RNA
Rfam family: Bacterial small subunit ribosomal RNA
Source: RNAcentral